GCCCAAUUUUCUCUCUCUUCCCUUACCCCAAAGGUUCCAUCUCUUUGCCCUCUUUCCAAAUCUCCCAAAUCCCCCAAAAUUCUAGGGUUUUCAUUUCCCUGUUGAAAUUUGGAUCGGUGCUUUGUUUUAGUUUUUGUGUAGAGGUUCCGAUUCCUGGAUUUUGUGGGAGAAUUUUGGGGGAUUCCAAUUGUAUAUUAAGAGAAAGAGAUGAGUUUUCAAGAUCUUGAAGCGGGUCGACCAUUGGGGCCCCGUAGAGGGUAUAUGAAUGGUAAGCAAGACCCAACUCAAGCUGUGGCUUCUGGAAUUUUCCAGAUUAACACUGCUGUGUCAACGUUUCAAAGGCUGGUCAAUACACUUGGAACACCCAAAGAUACACCCGAGCUGCGUGAGAAGUUGCACAAGACGAGGGUACAUAUUGGGCAGUUAGUGAAAGAUACAUCUGCAAAACUUAAGCAAGCCAGCGAAACAGAUCAUCGUGUUGAAGUCAGUGCUAGCAAGAAAAUAACAGAUGCUAAACUUGCUAAAGAUUUUCAAGCAGUCUUGAAGGAGUUUCAAAAGGCUCAAAGGCUUGCAGCUGAGAGAGAGACAGCAUAUACACCUUUUGUUCCCCAAGCAGUUCUUCCUUCAAGUUAUACAGCCAGUGAGAUAGAUGUUUCUUCGGGAAAGAGUCCAGAACAGCGAGCUCUCCUUGUGGAAUCAAGAAGACAAGAGGUUUUACUUUUGGACAACGAGAUAGCCUUUAAUGAAGCAAUCAUCGAAGAAAGAGAGCAGGGAAUACAAGA
This 782-nucleotide unclassified non-coding RNA is filed under the name Hevea brasiliensis (rubber tree). Lineage: Eukaryota; Viridiplantae; Streptophyta; Magnoliopsida; Malpighiales; Euphorbiaceae. The record is from RNAcentral.